CCUACGGGAGGCAGCAGUGAGGAAUAUUGGUCAAUGGGCGAGAGCCUGAACCAGCCAAGUCGCGUGAGGGAAGACGGUCCUAUGGAUUGUAAACCUCUUUUGCCGGGGAGCAAAACGCGGUACGUGUACCGCAUCGAGAGUACCCGGAGAAAAAGCAUCGGCUAACUCCGUGCCAGCAGCCGCGGUAAUACGGAGGAUGCGAGCGUUAUCCGGAUUUAUUGGGUUUAAAGGGUGCGCAGGCGGCGAGUUAAGUCAGCGGUAAAAUUUCGGGGCUCAACCCCGACAAGCCGUUGAAACUGGCGUGCUAGAGUGGGCGAGAAGUAUGCGGAAUGCGUGGUGUAGCGGUGAAAUGCAUAGAUAUCACGCAGAACUCCGAUUGCGAAGGCAGCAUACCGGCGCCCAACUGACGCUCAGGCACGAAAGCGUGGGUAUCGAACAGGAUUAGAUACCCCGGUAGUC
This 459-nucleotide ribosomal RNA is filed under the name uncultured bacterium. RNAcentral's name for it is "partial 16S ribosomal RNA". It matches the Rfam family "Bacterial small subunit ribosomal RNA", at positions 338 to 795 of the family's 1533-position model. The record is from RNAcentral.